AAUAUUGCACAAUGGGCGAAAGCCUGAUGCAGCAACGCCGCGUGAGGGAUGAAGGCCUUCGGGUCGUAAAGCUCUUUGAUCAGGGAAGAUAACGACAGUACAUGAAAAACAAGCCACGGUUAACUACAGUCCAUCAGCCUCGGUAAUACGUAGGUGGCGAGCGUUGUCCGGAAUUACUGGGCGUAAAGGAUGCGUAGGUGGAUACUUAAGUGGGAUGUGAAAUCCCCGGGCUCAACCCGGGAACUGCAUUCCAAACUGGGUAUCUAGAGUGCAGGAGAGGAAAGCGGAAUUCCUAGUGUAGCGGUGAAAUGCGUAGAUAUUAGGAGGAACACCAGUGGCGAAGGCGGCUUUCUGGACUGUAACUGACACUGAGGCAUGAAAGCGUGGGUAGCAAACAGG
This 399-nucleotide ribosomal RNA is filed under the name uncultured bacterium. Its description in RNAcentral is "partial 16S ribosomal RNA". It matches the Rfam family "Bacterial small subunit ribosomal RNA", at positions 360 to 776 of the family's 1533-position model. The record is from RNAcentral.